RNAcentral lists this small nuclear RNA (251 nucleotides) under Ipomoea nil (Japanese morning glory). Its description in RNAcentral is "U2 spliceosomal RNA". It matches the Rfam family "U2 spliceosomal RNA". Rfam says of the family: U2 is a small nuclear RNA (snRNA) component of the spliceosome (involved in pre-mRNA splicing). Complementary binding between U2 snRNA (in an area lying towards the 5' end but 3' to hairpin I) and the branchpoint sequence (BPS) of the intron results the bulging out of an unpaired adenosine, on the BPS, which initiates a nucleophilic attack at the intronic 5' splice site, thus starting the first of two transesterification reactions that mediate splicing. The record is from Rfam by way of RNAcentral. Lineage: Eukaryota; Viridiplantae; Streptophyta; Magnoliopsida; Solanales; Convolvulaceae.
GUACCUUUCUCGGCCUUUUGGCUAAGAUCAAGUGUAGUAUCUGUUCUUAUUAGUUUAAUAUCUGAUACGUGGGUUAUUAGUUCACAAGAUAUUAACUCAUUUUUUUUUAGGUGGAAGACUCAUGGGUUAUUAGUUCACAAGAUAUUAACUCAUUUUUUUUUAGGUGGAAGACUCAUUAAGAUAAUUUUGCUGUCUGAGCCUUUGGGCAUCGCCUUGGUGUUGCACUAUUGUCUCGGCUUGGAGCACCUCAC